GUAGGUGGCAAGCGUUGUUCGGAAUUAUUGGGGCGUAAAGCGCGCGCAGGCGGUUCUUUAAGUCUGAUGUGAAAGCCCACGGGCUCAACCGUGGAGGGUCAUUGGAAACUGGAGAACUUGAGUACAGAAGAGGAAAGCGGAAUUCCACGUGUAGCGGUGAAAUGCGUAGAGAUGUGGAGGAACACCAGUGGCGAAGGCGGCUUUCUGGUCUGCAACUGACGCUGAGGCGCGAAAGCGUGGGGAGCAAACAGGAUUAGAUACCCUGGUAGUCCACGCCGUAAACGAUGAGUGCUAAGUGUUAGGGGGUUUCCGCCCCUUAGUGCUGCAGCUAACGCAUUAAGCACUCCGCCUGGGGAGUACGGCCGCAAAGGCUG
This 374-nucleotide ribosomal RNA is filed under the name uncultured organism. RNAcentral's name for it is "partial 16S ribosomal RNA". It matches the Rfam family "Bacterial small subunit ribosomal RNA", at positions 527 to 896 of the family's 1533-position model. The record is from RNAcentral.